AUUGAACGCUGGCGGCAGGCCUAACACAUGCAAGUCGAACGGUAACAGGAAGAAGCUUGCUUCUUUGCUGACGAGUGGCGGACGGGUGAGUAAUGUCUGGGAAACUGCCUGAUGGAGGGGGAUAACUACUGGAAACGGUAGCUAAUACCGCAUAACGUCGCAAGACCAAAGAGGGGGACCUUCGGGCCUCUUGCCAUCGGAUGUGCCCAGAUGGGAUUAGCUAGUAGGUGGGGUAACGGCUCACCUAGGCGACGAUCCCUAGCUGGUCUGAGAGGAUGACCAGCCACACUGGAACUGAGACCCGGUCCAGACUCCUACGGGAGGCAGCAGUGGGGAAUAUUGCACAAUGGGCGCAAGCCUGAUGCAGCCAUGCCGCGUGUAUGAAGAAGGCCUUCGGGUUGUAAAGUACUUUCAGCGGGGAGGAAGGGAGUAAAGUUAAUACCUUUGCUCAUUGACGUUACCCGCAGAAGAAGCACCGGCUAACUCCGUGC
This 491-nucleotide ribosomal RNA is filed under the name uncultured bacterium. Its description in RNAcentral is "partial 16S ribosomal RNA". It matches the Rfam family "Bacterial small subunit ribosomal RNA", at positions 30 to 508 of the family's 1533-position model. The record is from RNAcentral.